RNAcentral lists this ribosomal RNA (164 nucleotides) under uncultured bacterium. RNAcentral describes it as "partial 16S ribosomal RNA". It matches the Rfam family "Bacterial small subunit ribosomal RNA", at positions 366 to 526 of the family's 1533-position model. The record is from RNAcentral.
GCGUAAAUGGCGCGACAUGAUCAGCCAUGCCGCGUGUGUGAGAAGCCCUCGGGUUGUAAAGCUCUUUCAUUGAGGAAGAACGCCUGGUGGUUAAUACCCGUCGCGAAUGACAUCUCUCACAGAAGAAGCACCGGCUAACUCCGUGCCAGCAGCCGCGGUAAUAA